RNAcentral lists this ribosomal RNA (380 nucleotides) under uncultured eukaryote. RNAcentral's name for it is "partial 18S ribosomal RNA". It matches the Rfam family "Eukaryotic small subunit ribosomal RNA", at positions 592 to 976 of the family's 1831-position model. The record is from RNAcentral.
CAAUAGCGUAUAUUAAAGUUGUUGCGGUUAAAAAGCUCGUAGUUGGAUUUCUGCUGAGAACGACCGGUCCGCCCUUUGGGUGUGUAUCUGGCUCUUUCUUGGCAUCUUCUUGGUGAACGUUGCUGCACUUGACUGUGUGGAGCGCUACCCAGGACUUUUACUUUGAGGAAAUUAGAGUGUUUCAAGCAGGCAUACGCCUUGAAUACAUUAGCAUGGAAUAAUAAGAUAGGACCUCGGUUCUAUUUUGUUGGUUUCUAGAGCUGAGGUAAUGAUUAAUAGGGAUAGUUGGGGGCAUUCGUAUUUAACUAUCAGAGGUGAAAUUCUUGGAUUUGUUAAAGACGGACUACUGCGAAAGCAUUUGCCAAGGAUGUUUUCAUUGA